GGGAACUUGCCUUUGCGAGGGGGGUAACAGUUGGAAACGACUGCUAAUACCGCAUAAUGUCUACGGACCAAACGGGGCUUCGGCUCCGGCGCAAAGAGAGGCCCAAGUGAGAUUAGCUAGUUGGUAAGGUAACGGCUUACCAAGGCGACGAUCUCUAGCUGUUCUGAGAGGAAGAUCAGCCACACUGGGACUGAGACACGGCCCAGACUCCUACGGGAGGCAGCAGUGGGGAAUAUUGCACAAUGGGGGAAACCCUGAUGCAGCCNUGCCGCGUGUGUGAAGAAGGCCUUCGGGUUGUAAAGCACUUUCAGUUGUGAGGAAAAGUUAGUAGUUAAUACCUGCUAGCCGUGACGUUAACAACAGAAGAAGCACCGGCUAACUCCGUGCCAGCAGCCGCGGUAAUACGGAGGGUGCGAGCGUUAAUCGGAAUUACUGGGCGUAAAGCGCACGCAGGCGGUUUGUUAAGCUAGAUGUGAAAGCCCCGGGCUCAACCUGGGAUGGUCAUUUAGAACUGGCAGACUAGAGUCUUGGAGAGGGGAGUGGAAUUCCAGGUGUAGCGGUGAAAUGCGUAGAUAUCUGGAGGAACAUCAGUGGCGAAGGCGACUCCCUGGCCAAAGACUGACGCUCAUGUGCGAAA
RNAcentral lists this ribosomal RNA (637 nucleotides) under bacterium enrichment culture clone A07_2-A2_063 (1/59). Its description in RNAcentral is "bacterial SSU rRNA". It matches the Rfam family "Bacterial small subunit ribosomal RNA", at positions 120 to 758 of the family's 1533-position model. The record is from RNAcentral.